GUAGCAGAAAAUCUGGAAUGGCUGAAGAAUAUUGGCUCAGCUGAAGAGAAUGUGUUAUAAGAAUCACCAGGAACUGGACGUCAUCAUAUUUUAAAACCAUAUGUGCACUAAGGGCUGCCUCACUGUAAAACCAAGUCCCAGCAGAAACCAUAUUAAGAUGUAAUUGAGUUUUUUUUUUAAAUAAAAAAUAAA
Molecule: long non-coding RNA, 192 nt
Filed under: Monodelphis domestica (gray short-tailed opossum)
Lineage: Eukaryota; Metazoa; Chordata; Mammalia; Didelphimorphia; Didelphidae
Description: lncRNA (ENSMODG00000026709.2)
Source: RNAcentral